UACGUAGGGGGCGAGCGUUGUCCGGAUUUAUUGGGCGUAAAGAGCUCGUAGGCGGUUCGAUAAGUCGGACGUGAAAUCUCCACGCUCAACGUGGAGGGGCCGUUCGAUACUGUCGUGACUCGAGUCCGGUAGGGGAGUGUGGAAUUCCCGGUGUAGCGGUGAAAUGCGCAGAGAUCGGGAGGAACACCCGUAGCGAAGGCGGCACUCUGGGCCGGUACUGACGCUGAGGAGCGAAAGCCAGGGGAGCAAACGGG
This 254-nucleotide ribosomal RNA is filed under the name uncultured bacterium. RNAcentral describes it as "partial 16S ribosomal RNA". It matches the Rfam family "Bacterial small subunit ribosomal RNA", at positions 524 to 776 of the family's 1533-position model. The record is from RNAcentral.